RNAcentral lists this transfer RNA (70 nucleotides) under Chlorocebus tantalus (tantalus monkey). Its description in RNAcentral is "tRNA-Val". It matches the Rfam family "tRNA". From Rfam's summary of the family: Transfer RNA (tRNA) molecules are approximately 80 nucleotides in length. Their secondary structure includes four short double-helical elements and three loops (D, anti-codon, and T loops). The record is from RNAcentral. Lineage: Eukaryota; Metazoa; Chordata; Mammalia; Primates; Cercopithecidae.
CAAGGUAUAGCUUAACACUAAAGCAUCCGACCUACACCCGGAAGAUCUCAGUACAACUCGAUUACCUUGA